This 1784-nucleotide unclassified non-coding RNA is filed under the name Homarus americanus (American lobster). Its description in RNAcentral is "longitudinals lacking protein, isoforms A/B/D/L-like, transcript variant X4". Lineage: Eukaryota; Metazoa; Arthropoda; Malacostraca; Decapoda; Nephropidae. The record is from RNAcentral.
UUGUGUGGGCUGGGGUUGGCAACACUGGCGGGCCAGGGAAGCUUGGGGUAGAAAAUGGCCGAACUGCUGGUGUGAUGCAGCCUAGCGUCUAGUCCUAGAAGGUUAACAUGGAGGAGCUACUCUCUCUAAAGUGGAACAAUCACCGUUCCACGUUUCUUCACAUACUGGGUGUGCUCAGGGAUAAGCAAGCGUAUACGGAUGUCACGCUGGCAUGCGAUGGCAAGUUCUACAGUGUGCACAAGUUGGUGCUUUCAACGUGUAGUGAUUAUUUCUGUGCCAUGUUUGACAAGACAGCUUGUAAGAGCCCAGUUAUAGUGCUAAAAGACAUUAAAAGUGAGGAUCUAGAAGCCUUGCUUGACUAUAUGUACCUUGGUGAAGUGAAUGUGCGACAAUGUGACUUAGCCUCUUUAAUAAAGGCGGCGGAAAACUUGAGAAUUAAGGGCCUUGCUGUACCUGACGAUGAACCUCUUAAGAAGGGUGCCGUAACUACACCAUCUCGGGCCGAACCGACCAGGAGAGAUGGCGGGAGUGGAAGUCCCCCUUCUAAAAGAAAACGGAGGGAUGAAGGCGAAGACGGUCGGGAAGACGUCAGACCGCCUCCCCCUCUACAGAGUGGCUUACACACCCCUCCACCACCACCAAGACCAAAGAGCCCUGUUAGUCAGCGGCUGAGCCCCUCCCCUCUCAGAACAUCUCAGGAGUCUCUCGUAACAGAAGAUCGUGAUAGCCGUCCCCUCUCUUCGCCUGCGGAGUCUCCCGUCACCUCUCAUGUACCAUCUCAUCAAUCUUCACAACAGUUGACACAUCAGCCAUCACAACCACCCCUUCAGUCAUCACAACCUCUACCUGAACAACAACAGACCAGUAACCAGUAUAGAGGGGAGGACACACCAACCUUUGUCAAGGUGGAGAUGGAGGAGGAAGACACGGGCGACAUCCACCAGGACUCCUACAAUUUGAGUGGAGAUGGGUACAAGGAGGAGGAGGGUGGAGACUUAGGGGGGGAUCUAAGUAAUGAUCUUCCCGAGUUCUUACAACAAGCUGCCUCUGGUGCCCUGGCUGGUACUUCUGCUUCCUACCAUCACGCCUUUGCUGGACCCUCUGGUUUUCAACCGGAGGUGUCUGGUUGGCAAGGGGACAGUCAGUCCCUGCCAGGAAGUUUUGCGGGGCUAGGCUUUCAGCCCUCCACACAGGACAAUCCACCAGGGGGGCGCAGGUUUGAGGCGGGACUGCCGACGGCGUUGUUGGCCGUUUCUGCGGGGUCUGCAGCUCACACCCUUUCGUCUGGGGCCCAGGGAGUGCCAGGGGACCUACUGUCAUGCAGUGUUUGUGGUCGAGGGUUCCACGGACGCAAUCGACGCCAGGAUCUUGAACGUCACAUGCUGACUCAUACCGGGGAAAAGCCUUACCGGUGCCCACACUGUCCACACCGCACCAACAGGAUUGGCAAUCUGAAAACCCACAUGUUCACUAUCCACCGUGAUCUGGUCACUAACCCUGCCCAUCAUGUUAUUUAUAACCUGAAGAACACCCAGCCUCUACAUCUAGGGGGUAACAUCCAUUCAUCCCAUUCCCUUCCCACCGUUAAUACUGACGUGGACAGGUCAACAAAGCACUCAUCGUGACGUCGUCUGAUUUCAUAAAAGUAAAGCGGUCACAUCUAGCAGUGGCCCAGAUAAAGACGGUGGCGAUGCAGAGGGUGGUACCACUACUAUACCCUCGUACCCCCCUCCACCAUGCCCCCAACUGCCACCCAUACACAGCCAAACACCACAUCGUAGCUG